This 265-nucleotide ribosomal RNA is filed under the name uncultured bacterium. RNAcentral describes it as "partial 16S ribosomal RNA". It matches the Rfam family "Bacterial small subunit ribosomal RNA", at positions 793 to 1055 of the family's 1533-position model. The record is from RNAcentral.
GUCCACGCCGUAAACGAUGGAUGCUAGAUGUCGCGGGUAUUGACCCCUGCGGCGUCGCAGAUAACUCAUUAAGCAUCCCGCCUGGGGAGUACGGCCGCAAGGCUAAAACUCAAAGGAAUUGACGGGGGCCCGCACAAGCGGUGGAGCAUGUGGUUCAAUUCGACGCAACGCGCAGAACCUUACCUGGGUUAAAUCCACCGGAAUUCUGUAGAGAUAUGGAAGUGCCCGCAAGGGAGCCGGUGAGAAGGUGCUGCAUGGCUGUCGU